RNAcentral lists this ribosomal RNA (90 nucleotides) under Lepisosteus oculatus (spotted gar). Lineage: Eukaryota; Metazoa; Chordata; Actinopteri; Semionotiformes; Lepisosteidae. The record is from RNAcentral.
UCUAGCAGCUAUAUCACCCUGCAACUCACUGUGAGCCUGGCCAGUACCUGGAUGGGAGCCCUCCUGGGAAAGCUGAGGUUGCUGCUGGAA